AACGAACGCUGGCGGCAUGCCUAACACAUGCAAGUCGAACGAACCCUUCGGGGUUAGUGGCGCACGGGUGCGUAACGCGUGGGAAUCUGCCCUUUGCUUCGGAAUAACAGUUAGAAAUGACUGCUAAUACCGGAUAAUGUCUUCGGACCAAAGAUUUAUCGGCAAAGGAUGAGCCCGCGUAGGAUUAGCUAGUUGGUGGGGUAAAAGCUCACCAAGGCGACGAUCCUUAGCUGGUCUGAGAGGAUGAUCAGCCACACUGGGACUGAGACACGGCCCAGACUCCUACGGGAGGCAGCAGUGGGGAAUAUUGGACAAUGGGGCGAAAGCCUGAUCCAGCAAUGCCGCGUGAGUGAUGAAGGCCUUAGGGUUGUAAAGCUCUUUUACCAGGGAUGAUAAUGACAGUACCUGGAGAAUAAGCUCCGGCUAACUCCGUGCCAGCAGCCGCGGUAAU
Molecule: ribosomal RNA, 451 nt
Filed under: uncultured bacterium
Lineage: Bacteria
Description: bacterial SSU rRNA
Rfam family: Bacterial small subunit ribosomal RNA
Source: RNAcentral